This is a non-coding RNA of Acanthosepion pharaonis, 98 nucleotides long. The record is from the annotation of a GenBank genome assembly. NCBI's taxonomy places the organism in Eukaryota, Metazoa, Mollusca, Cephalopoda, Sepiida, Sepiidae.
CGUUGAAACACUAGUUCUAGUCCGAUUACCGAAGUUAAGCAACGUCAAACCUGGUCAGUACCAAGAUGGGUGACCGCUUGGGAAUACCAGAUGCUGUA